AGGACUUUUUGCUAUUUAUGAUGGGCAUUCAGGAGACAAUGUGGCUGCCUAUUUACAGAAACAUUUGUUCUCCAAUAUCUUAAAAGAGGAGGAUUUUUGGACCGACCCUCAUAGCUCAAUCUUACAAGCUUACGAGAGAACAGAUCAGGCUAUUCUCUCACAUAAUCCUGAUCUAGGACAAGGAGGGUCGACUGCAGUGACUGCAAUACUUAUAAAUGGGCGAAAGCUAUGGAUAGCAAAUGUUGGAGAUUCCAGAGCAGUGCUUUCAAAGAGGGGGAAGGCGAUACAAAUGAGCAUUGAUCAUGAACCACACACAGAGCGGGGAAGCAUUGAGAACAAAGGUGGCUUUGUCACAAAAAUGCCAGGAGAUGUUGCUAGAGUGAAUGGUCAACUAGCUGUAUCUCGCGCUUUUGGAGACAAGAACCUGAAAUCACACUUGCGCUCUGAUCCUGAUGUAACAACCAUUGAUGUUGAUGGAGAUACAGAUCUUCUCAUCCUUGCAAGUGAUGGCCUAUGGAAGGUAAUGUCUAAUCAAGAGGCAGUUGACAUCGCGAAGAAGGUUAAGGACCCACAGAAGGCAUCCAAGCAAUUAGCCAUCGAAGCGUUAACUAGAGAAAGUAAAGAUGAUAUCUCAUGCAUCGUUGUCCGAUUUAAGGGGUAAGUGAAUGAUGACUAGUGUGCAGAAGUUAAAACUCUAUAGUUGUAAGAAUGAGAUUCAACUCCUAGUUUCAUAGAAGCUUGAAAUCUCCAGAAUCCAGCAUAAGUAUUUGUAUUUAUACAUGUACGAUCCCUUGCCCCUUGUUUGUAAUUUUCAAGUUGUUCAUUCAGUUUGUGUGGUAAUUAUCUUUUUUUUUCCUACUAAUAGAUUAGAUUCUUGAGGAUUGAAUUUUGUGUAAUUUGCAUAAAUACUUGCUUUUGUAAGCAAAACAUUU
RNAcentral lists this unclassified non-coding RNA (932 nucleotides) under Hevea brasiliensis (rubber tree). The record is from RNAcentral. Lineage: Eukaryota; Viridiplantae; Streptophyta; Magnoliopsida; Malpighiales; Euphorbiaceae.